This 87-nucleotide transfer RNA is filed under the name Candidatus Kaiserbacteria bacterium. Its description in RNAcentral is "tRNA-Leu". It matches the Rfam family "tRNA". From Rfam's summary of the family: Transfer RNA (tRNA) molecules are approximately 80 nucleotides in length. Their secondary structure includes four short double-helical elements and three loops (D, anti-codon, and T loops). Further hydrogen bonds mediate the characteristic L-shaped molecular structure. tRNAs have two regions of fundamental functional importance: the anti-codon, which is responsible for specific mRNA codon recognition, and the 3' end, to which the tRNAs corresponding amino acid is attached (by aminoacyl-tRNA synthetases). tRNAs cope with the degeneracy of the genetic code in two manners: having more than one tRNA (with a specific anti-codon) for a particular amino acid; and 'wobble' base-pairing, i.e. permitting non-standard base-pairing at the 3rd anti-codon position. Lineage: Bacteria; Candidatus Kaiseribacteriota. The record is from RNAcentral.
GCCCAGGUGGCGGAAUUGGUAGACGCUGUACCUUGAGGGGGUAUUGUCCUUACGGACGUGCUGGUUCAACUCCAGUUCUGGGCACAA